Molecule: long non-coding RNA, 405 nt
Filed under: Brassica napus (rape)
Lineage: Eukaryota; Viridiplantae; Streptophyta; Magnoliopsida; Brassicales; Brassicaceae
Description: long non-coding RNA (BNAP_LNC000902)
Source: RNAcentral
UGGGUGGGAAGGUAGUGAUUGGAUGGGCUGAUCCUUCGUGUUGAUGGUUGAGUUUGAUUAUCGUUUAUCUGUUUUCGGCCGAGUGUGGCCUUUUAAAUUUGGAUUUUGCUUAGGCUUAGAUGGCCGUAUUUGUAUUUACCGAGACUGGCCGUUAGUGGCUUUGAAUCCCCUACCGUUUUGCGGCUUAUAUAUUAUGAAUGUUUGAAGAGUUUCAGUUUGCGUAUAUGUUUAAAUUGUUGAGAGAAAAGAAUAUAAGUUGUCGUCUCAUACCUAACUCAUAGUGUAGCGUUCUUUCGUCUGUUCGUAAAAGAUGCAGAAUUUUGUGAACGUUUAAAAACGAAUGGCGAGACAUGGUUUUAAGAUCUCGUAUCAAUUUUUAGAUAUCAUGCCUUGAGAUGUUAGAGA